This 23-nucleotide non-coding RNA is filed under the name Arabidopsis thaliana (thale cress). The record is from RNAcentral. Lineage: Eukaryota; Viridiplantae; Streptophyta; Magnoliopsida; Brassicales; Brassicaceae.
UGGUUUUUGAUAAUAGCUCCCUU